AUUGAACGCUGGCGGCAGGCCUAACGCAUGCAAGUCGAGCGGGGACUUCGGUCCUAGCGGCGAACGGGUGAGUAAUGCUUGGGAAUCUGCCCAGUAGUGGGGGAUAACGUCCCGAAAGGGACGCUAAUACCGCAUACGUCCUACGGGAGAAAGAGGGGGAUCUUCGGACCUCUCGCUAUUGGAUGAGCCCAAGUCGGAUUAGCUAGUUGGUAGGGUAAUGGCCUACCAAGGCGACGAUCCGUAGCUGGUCUGAGAGGAUGAUCAGCCACACUGGAACUGAGACACGGUCCAGACUCCUACGGGAGGCAGCAGUGGGGAAUAUUGGACAAUGGGCGAAAGCCUGAUCCAGCCAUGCCGCGUGUGUGAAGAAGGCCUUCGGGUUGUAAAGCACUUUAAGCGGGGAGGAAGGUUCGCGGCCUAAUACGUCGCGGAAUUGACGUUACCCGCAGAAUAAGCACCGGCUAACUCUGUG
Molecule: ribosomal RNA, 472 nt
Filed under: uncultured bacterium
Lineage: Bacteria
Description: partial 16S ribosomal RNA
Rfam family: Bacterial small subunit ribosomal RNA
Source: RNAcentral